This 468-nucleotide ribosomal RNA is filed under the name uncultured bacterium. RNAcentral's name for it is "partial 16S ribosomal RNA". It matches the Rfam family "Bacterial small subunit ribosomal RNA", at positions 28 to 507 of the family's 1533-position model. The record is from RNAcentral.
GACGAACGCUGGCGGCGUGCUUAACACAUGCAAGUCGAACGGAAAGGCCCUGCUUUUGUGGGGUGCUCGAGUGGCGAACGGGUGAGUAACACGUGAGUAACCUGCCCUUGACUUUGGGAUAACUUCAGGAAACUGGGGCUAAUACCGGAUAGGAGCUCCUGCUGCAUGGUGGGGGUUGGAAAGUUUCGGCGGUUGGGGAUGGACUCGCGGCUUAUCAGCUUGUUGGUGGGGUAGUGGCUUACCAAGGCUUUGACGGGUAGCCGGCCUGAGAGGGUGACCGGCGACAUUGCGACUGAGAGAGGGCGCAGACUGCUACGGGAGGCAGUAGUGGGGAAUAUUGCACAAUGGGCGGAAGCCUGAGGCAGCAACGCUGGGGGUGGGAUGACGGCCUGCGCGGUGUAAACCGCUUUCGCCUGUGACGAAGCGUGAGUGACGGUAAUGGGUAAAGAAGCACCGGCUAACUACGUG